This is a long non-coding RNA of Pezoporus flaviventris, 821 nucleotides long. RefSeq lists it as uncharacterized. The record is from RefSeq and is a predicted model, not a curated record. Lineage: Eukaryota; Metazoa; Chordata; Aves; Psittaciformes; Psittacidae. The transcript has 3 exons.
AAGGGGCGUUUGGGAGCAGCGGUCUCCAAAUGGGGGAUCCCGAAAUGGCUGCUGAGGGCAGCGGCUGCCUGUGGUGGCCUCAGCACCAGCCUCAACGCCUCGAGAGGCAACGUGAGCUGUCACUUCCUACCAGCUAUGUCCUUGCUUCCACUGCCACCUACAACGGCUGCUGCAUGUCCACAAUUUGAAUUGAGCUUCCCCGUGCACACAGCAGGACAGGAGCUGCCAUCCUCUGUUUUCCAUACUGCAAUGAACUCUCAGCUGCUGGGCACAAAGCCUGUCCUUUCUGCUUGUGAGAGAGCCUCACUUAGACUGUUGUACUGCAGCCUAACUUCUGGGUACGUAUAGUAAAAGGUCUCAAAACAACAGGUGCUUCAAUGCUUCUGGGGCUUGGCUAAAGGAAUGUGACAACAACUCAUAGAAUGAUGACCUCUCUGUGCUCUCGUUGCUUUAUAGAACAAUGAAGUAAAACUGAGCAAUUGAGUUAGAGUUGUUGUUGAGCCUGAGGAGGGGUGGAGGAGAGAUGAAGUGAUUUACCGUUUGUUCUUGCUGCAUUGUUAACAUGUACACUCAGGAGGAAUAGAACUGAAAUGUCUGUGAAGAAACAACUCUCAACUCAGUCGCAAACUGUUCCUCUGUGUAGGUAUCCCAAGCCCCAUGUGGUUUCAUUACAAGGGAAGGAAAAUGUUAUCUGGGUGGUAUAAAGUCUUGUUGUGACAUGAGUUACCUGCUGUUAAACAAGAUUUUCAGAAAUUACAUACGAUGCUUAGACCUAAUAUAUAACUGUGUUUAAUAUCCCUGAUACUAUUAAACACACACCC